RNAcentral lists this ribosomal RNA (1480 nucleotides) under Sulfuracidifex metallicus DSM 6482 = JCM 9184. RNAcentral's name for it is "bacterial SSU rRNA". It matches the Rfam family "Archaeal small subunit ribosomal RNA". Lineage: Archaea; Thermoproteati; Thermoproteota; Thermoprotei; Sulfolobales; Sulfolobaceae. The record is from RNAcentral.
UCCCCUGAUUCCGGUUGAUCCUGCCGGACCCGAUCGCUAUCGGGGUAGGGCUAAGCCAUGGGAGUCGUACAUCCCGCAAGGGGUGUGGCGGACUGCUGAGUAACACGUGGUCAACCUAACCUAGGGAAGGGAAUAACCCCGGGAAACUGGGGAUAAUUCCCUAUAGCUGAGGAGUCCUGGAACGGUUCCUCGGCGAAAGCCCGCAAGGGCGCCCUAGGAUGGGACUGCGGCCCAUCAGGUAGUUGGGGGGUUAAAGGCCCUCCAAGCCGAUAACGGGUAGGGGCCCUGGGAGGGGGAGCCCCCAGAUGGGCACUGAGACAAUGGCCCAGGUCCUACGGGGCGCACCAGGCGCGCAACGUCUUCAAUGCACGAAAGUGUGAAAGCGCUACCCCGAGUGCCCCUUUGGGGCUUUUCUACGCUCUAAAAAGGCGUGGGAAUAAGCGGAGGGCAAGACUGGUGUCAGCCGCCGCGGUAAUACCAGCUCCGCGAGUGAUCGGGACUCUUAUUGGGCCUAAAGCGCCCGUAGCCGGCUCUGUAAGUCACUGCUUAAAGACCCGAGCUCAACUCGGGGAAGGGUAGUGAUACUACAGAGCUAGGGGGCGGGAGAGGUCGGGGGUACUCCUAGAGUAGGGGCGAAAUCCGUAGAUCCUAGGAGGACCACCAGUGGCGGAGGCGCCCGGCUAGAACGCGCCCGACGGUGAGGGGCGAAAGCUGGGGUAGCAAAAGGGAUUAGAUACCCCUGUAGUCCCAGCUGUAAACGAUGCGGGCUAGGUGUCACGUGAGCUUAGAGCCCACGUGGUGCCGCAGGGAAGCCUUUAAGCCCGCCGCCUGGGGAAUACGGCCGCAAGGCUGAAACUUAAAGGAAUUGGCGGGGGAGCACCACAAGGGGUGGAACCUGCGGCUCAAUUGGAGUCAACGCCUGGAAUCUUACCGGGGGAGACCGCAGAAUGACGGCCAGGCUGAUGACCUUGCCAGACUCGCGGAGAGGAGGUGCAUGGCCGUCGCCAGCUCGUGUUGUGAAAUGUCCUGUUAAGUCAGGCAACGAGCGAGACCUCUACUCCUAGUUGGUAUCUGGGCCUCCGGGCUUGGACCACACUAGGAGGACUGCCAGUGUUAAACUGGAGGAAGGUAGAGGCCACGGCAGGUCAGCAUGCCCCGAAACUCCCGGGCCGCACGCGGGUUACAAUGGUAGGGACAGCGGGAUCCAAGUCCGAAAGGAGGAGGCAAUCCCUUAAACCCUGCCUCAGUUGGGAUCGAGGGCUGAAACUAGCCCUCGUGAACGAGGAAUCCCUAGUAACCGCACGUCAACAACGUGCGGUGAAUACGUCCCUGCUCCUUGCACACACCGCCCGUCGCUCCACCCGAGCGUAAGAGGCGUGAGGAUCCCUGCGAAAGUGGGGAUUCGAACUCCUCUUACGUGAGGGGGGAGAAGUCGUAACAAGGUAGCCGUAGGGGAACCUGCGGCUGGAUCACCUCAUAU